CAAAAUAAAGAGCCUUGAGUACUUACUGAAAAAAGAGCACAUAGACCUAACAAAAUUAAGUGGAUACCUAAAUUGUACUCGUUUUAUUUCUAUUUUUUCA
This 100-nucleotide antisense RNA is filed under the name Triticum dicoccoides. RNAcentral describes it as "lncRNA IsrR". It matches the Rfam family "Antisense RNA which regulates isiA expression", at positions 91 to 187 of the family's 187-position model. Lineage: Eukaryota; Viridiplantae; Streptophyta; Magnoliopsida; Poales; Poaceae. The record is from RNAcentral.